RNAcentral lists this ribosomal RNA (462 nucleotides) under uncultured bacterium. RNAcentral's name for it is "bacterial SSU rRNA". It matches the Rfam family "Bacterial small subunit ribosomal RNA", at positions 27 to 507 of the family's 1533-position model. The record is from RNAcentral.
GGACGAACGCUGGCGGCGUGCCUAACACAUGCAAGUCGAACGGGGUAAUUACUUCGGUGAUUACUUAGUGGCGAACGGGUGAGUAACGCGUGAGGGACCUGCCUCUCAGUGGGGGACAACAGUUGGAAACGACUGCUAAUACCGCAUAACGCAGCGAGACCGCAUGGUCUUGCUGUCAAAGCUUUAUGUGCUGAGAGAUGGACCCGCGUCUGAUUAGCUAGUUGGUGAGGUAACGGCCCACCAAGGCGACGAUCAGUAGCCGGCCUGAGAGGGUGGACGGCCACAUUGGGACUGAGACACGGCCCAAACUCCUACGGGAGGCAGCAGUGGGGAAUAUUGCACAAUGGGGGAAACCCUGAUGCAGCGACGCCGCGUGAGUGAAGAAGUAUUUCGGUAUGUAAAGCUCUAUCAGCAGGGAAGAAAAUGACGGUACCUGACUAAGAAGCCCCGGCUAACUACGUG